UACGGAGGGGACUAGCGUUGUUCGGAAUUACUGGGCGUAAAGCGCACGUAGGCGGAUUUGUAAGUCAGGGGUGAAAUCCCGAGGCUCAACCUCGGAACUGCCUUUGAUACUGCAAAUCUCGAGUCCGGAAGAGGUGAGUGGAAUUCCUAGUGUAGAGGUGAAAUUCGUAGAUAUUCGGAGGAACACCAGUGGCGAAGGCGGCUCACUGGUCCGGUACUGACGCUGAGGUGCGAAAGCGUGGGGAGCAAACAGG
RNAcentral lists this ribosomal RNA (253 nucleotides) under uncultured bacterium. RNAcentral's name for it is "partial 16S ribosomal RNA". It matches the Rfam family "Bacterial small subunit ribosomal RNA", at positions 524 to 776 of the family's 1533-position model. The record is from RNAcentral.